AGAUGGUUGUAUGCGCGAAGGACAAUACUGAGGCCGACGAGAUUGUACUUGACGGAAUGGGCAGUCAAAUUGGAGAAGCAGUUAGGCAUCAAAGUGAAAAAAAUAGGCAUAAGGUUAGGACCAAAAAUGCGAUUAACCCUAAGGGUGCGUUUGAUUUGAGUUAUCCUAGCAGGAUUACAGGCAAUCCUGUCAGGAUUACUGUGUUUGGUUCAUCCGCUAUGUAAUCUAGUCGUUAACGUAGCAUUACAGAUCGAACAGGAUUACACCGAAAAUAUUAACGAAACGGGGGUUAUAUAUCUUGGAUUAAUGCUACAUAUUAUAUAAAAUGACAAUUUUACCCUCCAACACCCCCAAACCCAAUUAUCAGCAUUGUUCCGCUCUCUCUCUCUCACACCCUCCCCCCUCUCUCUCGCACGCCGCUCUCUCUCGCUCUCUCUCUCGCACGCCGCUCUCUCUCGCUCUUUCCCUCUCUAUCUAUCUCUUUCUCUCUCUUGCACGUCUUUUUUUUUGUAUUAACAACAUCGUCUUUUUAUUAUAUUUCCCUUUUCCUGGAUCUGAUUUGAAAAUGUUAGGAAAAUUUUCAUAUAUUUUUGUGCCCUAAUUAAUCAUGUGUCAGCCUAAAAAUAAAAUGCCUAAUUUGUUGUGUGUAAAUGAUAAUUUUUUAUUUAAUUUAUUAUCGUUUAAUUUUUAUUUUAGUUUUUUAUGUAUAUCUCUCGUCAAUUAUUAUUCAAAUGACCACAAUAAGGAAAAUUUUGAAAAAAACUAUACUUUUAUGUCAGGAUUACUAAAUUUUAUAGACUGAACCAAACGUAAUAAUGAUAUAAACACUACAAUCUAGUAUUACGUUACUGCAUUAAACCAAACGCGCUAAUGCAGCAUCAGUAGUAAUCUCACGCCGAAAUCCAAGAUAUCUAGAAAUGUCAAGAUACUCUUUAAUAUUAUAUAACUCGAACCAAACGGGCCCUAAUAGUUAAAGAUCUGAUCAUUGCGUAAAAAAUAGG
This 1001-nucleotide long non-coding RNA is filed under the name Ananas comosus (pineapple). RNAcentral describes it as "long non-coding RNA (ACOM_LNC016817)". Lineage: Eukaryota; Viridiplantae; Streptophyta; Magnoliopsida; Poales; Bromeliaceae. The record is from RNAcentral.